GAGACACCCCUGUGGAGCAAGUUUUGCGUCAGUGGGGCUUUGGUGCUCACUCAGUCUGCCCCUCAAGUGUGUCGCU
RNAcentral lists this microRNA precursor (76 nucleotides) under Myotis brandtii (Brandt's bat). RNAcentral's name for it is "mir-9229 microRNA precursor family". It matches the Rfam family "mir-9229 microRNA precursor family". The record is from Rfam by way of RNAcentral. Lineage: Eukaryota; Metazoa; Chordata; Mammalia; Chiroptera; Vespertilionidae.